This 70-nucleotide transfer RNA is filed under the name Dipodomys ordii (Ord's kangaroo rat). It matches the Rfam family "tRNA". From Rfam's summary of the family: Transfer RNA (tRNA) molecules are approximately 80 nucleotides in length. Their secondary structure includes four short double-helical elements and three loops (D, anti-codon, and T loops). Further hydrogen bonds mediate the characteristic L-shaped molecular structure. tRNAs have two regions of fundamental functional importance: the anti-codon, which is responsible for specific mRNA codon recognition, and the 3' end, to which the tRNAs corresponding amino acid is attached (by aminoacyl-tRNA synthetases). tRNAs cope with the degeneracy of the genetic code in two manners: having more than one tRNA (with a specific anti-codon) for a particular amino acid; and 'wobble' base-pairing, i.e. permitting non-standard base-pairing at the 3rd anti-codon position. Lineage: Eukaryota; Metazoa; Chordata; Mammalia; Rodentia; Heteromyidae. The record is from Rfam by way of RNAcentral.
GGAAAUGUGGCUUAGUGGUAGAGUGCUUGCCUAGCAUGCACGAGGUCCUGGGUUCAAUUCCUCAGUACCA